This is a non-coding RNA of Musa acuminata subsp. malaccensis (wild Malaysian banana), 1293 nucleotides long. The record is from RefSeq and is a predicted model, not a curated record. NCBI's taxonomy places the organism in Eukaryota, Viridiplantae, Streptophyta, Magnoliopsida, Zingiberales, Musaceae.
UAUUGCAAUUAUGCUGAAGUAUAUAUGCCCGAUGUUUUAUAUAGCUGUAUUUUGUUGUUUGAUAAUGUGGUUUUGCCAUCUUAUGCACCUUUUUGUUUCUUUUCCCUGUAAUUUUGCACUUCUGUUGUUUGACUUGAAGCUGAUUCUGCAAUUUUUAGCUCUUCACUGUCGAAUGAUAGGUAGUUCACACUCAUUUGUAUUUAGUCAUUUUGAAGAGUGAAUUUGAGGGUACCAUCAACAGCCUGCUUUUGUCUUGGGCUUUUGCAAAGAGCUUGGAUAGACGCUGCCAGCUGUUGUUGAUGGCUAGAAGUAGAGGGUCCACUUUGGGUACAGAGUGCUGACGACAGUCCUUGCAUCGGCAUAGAAGACUGGUGAACUAGAAUCUUGGGCCUAGAUAUCACCAAUGUGGAGUGGGCAGUGGUGCGUCCAGAGAUGAAGAACUAAGAAUCAGCAUAUCAACCAUGGCUUGAAUUCUGUAGUUCCAGUAAAAAUAUUGGUUCAGAAUCAGCUUGUAACUCUUGCUAAUGUGUUUAGCCCAGGCAUAAUACUCAGCCCCUGGUUUACAAGCAAGGUAGUUCUCUAAAGGUCUGUUUAUUCCCUGUGUUCUAAGAAACUGAUUUCCAGAUAUCUGUUUUCUUUAGAAGACACAUGGCUUCUACCCUAUAAACAAAAUGGAGCAGUUUAAGAUUUUUCUGCAAUACUUCAUGAUGCUUUAAUUUAUUCUCAACCUUUGUCUGGCCAGUUUGAUCAGUUCUCUCACCGUCCUUUGGACAGAGAGUUGUUUCUCACAUGCUUCAAUAUGGUUUUAUUGUUGGCUGUUAAUUGGGUAUGGGUGAUGGAAAAGAAAUCCUGUUGUCUUAACUUGUACCAUUAGGAAAAUACAUUUGGAAUGCAAAAUCUUGUAGCUUGUUGGAUCUUGCAUUGGCUCUUCUUCUGGACCGAGAAAGAUCGUGGCGAGGGCUUGAUGAGUACAUGGCGGAUUGCACUAGAUACUGCAUCUCGGUAACUAAAAUUACUCGACCGCAAUUAGCUGAUGGAGUGGUCAUCAUUCUUGAUCAAUGUAAUUGUGAAUUGAUAUAUAUGGUGUAGUUCUUGCUCAUUCAAAGAUAUUUUCUGUAAGACCUGCUAGAGAUUGAUUUUUAGAAGAAACGCAAGUCAGCUGGAGGAGAAAUCAAGCCUUGUGUUCAUGGAUUCAUGACCAACAGAUACAGUAUGGUUCAUCAAGCAUGCAUGCGAAGAUGUUCUAUUUGCUCUUCAUGCGACAUGUUGAACCAACAUUAGAUUCAUGCUUCG